GGUGACGAGCGGCGGACGGGUGAGUAAUGUCUGGGAAACUGCCUGAUGGAGGGGGAUAACUACUGGAAACGGUAGCUAAUACCGCAUAACGUCGCAAGACCAAAGUGGGGGACCUUCGGGCCUCAUGCCAUCAGAUGUGCCCAGAUGGGAUUAGCUAGUAGGUGGGGUAAUGGCUCACCUAGGCGACGAUCCCUAGCUGGUCUGAGAGGAUGACCAGCCACACUGGAACUGAGACACGGUCCAGACUCCUACGGGAGGCAGCAGUGGGGAAUAUUGCACAAUGGGCGCAAGCCUGAUGCAGCCAUGCCGCGUGUAUGAAGAAGGCCUUCGGGUUGUAAAGUACUUUCAGCGAGGAGGAAGGCAUUAAGGUUAAUAACCUUAGUGAUUGACGUUACUCGCAGAAGAAGCACCGGCUAACUCCGUGCCAGCAGCCGCGGUAAUACGGAGGGUGCAAGCGUUAAUCGGAAUUACUGGGCGUAAAGCGCACGCAGGCGGUUUGUUAAGUCAGAUGUGAAAUCCCCGGGCUCAACCUGGGAACUGCAUUUGAAACUGGCAAGCUUGAGUCUUGUAGAGGGGGGUAGAAUUCCAGGUGUAGCGGUGAAAUGCGUAGAGAUCUGGAGGAAUACCGGUGGCGAAGGCGGCCCCCUGGACAAAGACUGAC
RNAcentral lists this ribosomal RNA (661 nucleotides) under Raoultella sp. RNAcentral describes it as "bacterial SSU rRNA". It matches the Rfam family "Bacterial small subunit ribosomal RNA", at positions 87 to 744 of the family's 1533-position model. Lineage: Bacteria; Pseudomonadati; Pseudomonadota; Gammaproteobacteria; Enterobacterales; Enterobacteriaceae. The record is from RNAcentral.